Molecule: ribosomal RNA, 468 nt
Filed under: uncultured bacterium
Lineage: Bacteria
Description: partial 16S ribosomal RNA
Rfam family: Bacterial small subunit ribosomal RNA
Source: RNAcentral
GACGAACGCUGGCGGCGUGCUUAACACAUGCGAGUCGAGCGGAAAGGCCCUGCUUUUGUGGGGUGCUCGAGUGGCGAACGGGUGAGUAACACGUGAGUAACCUGCCCUUGUCUUUGGGAUAACUUCAGGAAACUGGGGCUCAUACCGGAUAGGAGCUCCUGCUGCAUGGUGGGGGUUGGAAAGUUUCGGCGGUUGGGGAUGGACUCGCGGCUUAUCAGCUUGUUGGUGGGGUAGUGGCUUACCAAGGCUUUGACGGGUAGCCGGCCUGGGAGGCGGACCGGCCACAUUGGGACUGAGAUACGGCCCAGACUCCUACGGGAGGCAGCAGUGGGGAAUAUUGCACAAUGGGCGGAAGCCUGAUGCAGCAACGCCGCGUGCGGAAUGACGGCCUUCGGGUGUUAAACCGCUUUCGCCGGUGACGAAGCGUGAGUGACGGUAAUGGGUAAAGAAGCACCGGCUAACUACGUG